This 1456-nucleotide long non-coding RNA is filed under the name Marmota monax (woodchuck). The record is from RNAcentral. Lineage: Eukaryota; Metazoa; Chordata; Mammalia; Rodentia; Sciuridae.
CUUAAACUGUAAGAUUCUUAUGCCCUAGGGUUGAUCUUCAAUUCCUCAUGUGUGUAUCAACCUUACACAAUGCUCCACGCGCUCAUCAGAGUGGUGGUGAUAGAAUGCUCAGCAGACAAGACAAGGCCCAGAGUAGCACAGGGUCAGAAACAUAUUGUUGGGCUAUGGUUGUUAUGUCUACCUUCCUUUUUAUUCUGUUGUUCCCAGACAUAAAACCAUUUGUUCCAUGUAGUUUUAGUUUGUUUAAUAUUUGAGAAGAGUGGUGAUAUUUGAAAUAAACAUGAAAAAAAUUCAAUAUGCUACAGACAUCAUUCAGAUCUUCCUCCUCCAGGAAGACACCUUGCUUCUCUACUUUGUUCACCCCAUCUCACCUCAGUUCUCCAGACAGAGAUAUCUCACCUUCCCUGUCUUAGUGUUUUAAUCAUACAUCUCACACGAUUCUUAUCCUGAUCCUUUUUACCUUCUGAUAAAAUUAUUUAUGUGUUUUAUUCUCCCUGGUUCCUUGAAAUCUUCUGAUGGGAAAGGUGCAUACCUGAUUCAACUCCAGGGACAGCUUCUAUAUAUUUGAUGCAUUACACACCUACAUAAUUCUCCCUGUCAUGACAGUUGGAGCACUGCCUGGAACAUAACAAGUGCUCAAUAAAUAUUGAAUCCAACGAAUGAUUGCAUGAUGUCAGGCUAAAUUGAAGAAAAUACAUCUAUAAAUGUAUGAUGUACUUGUUAGUGCCCUUGGCGCAUUUGAAGACUGGAAUAAUGACUUGAGACUUCCAAAAUAAUCUAUUCUUUUCCAGUCAAGAGACAAAGUAGAACAGUUGAGGGCUCUUUUGAAGUUCCAGAUGCAAAGUAAAUAUGCAAAACUUCUGAAGAAUUCAAAAUGGAAAUGAUAUUUGAAAAAAAUCAAUGUCUUCACCAAGAGAUUAGUUUCAUUUGUAAAAUUUAAAUGUAUGGAUAAAUCUGGAGGCCUAAAUCUUUUAAGCACAUACUGGUGUUAGGUCUAGUAGGAGAAAUUAAAAUUGAAUACAAAUAUUUUUGGGCAAUAUUCCAAAGAUAGCCAAGAGUACACAACCAAAUGGAAUGUAGUGUCUUUUUCAUGGUUCCUUUCAGAGAGAAUGAAAGUUUCUCAAUCCAGUGUAUCCUCAGACCUAAUUUUCACUUCCUUGGUUUGACUAUUCAAGAAUCACUGGGAAGUUCCGCAAAAUGAAGUCAUUGUCUUCUUCUGUUUUUUGAAUUCUAUGAGACUAUUAUGCUGGGGAGAAAUAAUAAUUUCUAAUGGAGGCUUCCAUAUUUAAAUUCAAUUUCUUCUAUUCAUUAAAUUAGCCAUUAUGAACAACUGUCAUUUCUUCACUACUUCUCUCUUCACUCAUGUGUUCCCUUCUCCUCUGCUCACAUUUCUCUCUCUCUCUCCUCCUUAUGGUUCUAGGGCUCAACUCCAUGGCCUUGCUCUGCUACAUCCCCA